CAGUAGCCGCGGGAAUACGUAGGGUGCAAGCGUUAAUCGGAAUUACUGGGCGUAAAGCGCGCGCAGGCGGUUCCGCAAGUCAGAUGUGAAAUCCCCGGGCUCAACCUGGGAACUGCAUUUGAAACUACGGGGCUAGAGUGUGUCAGAGGGGGGUGGAAUUCCACGUGUAGCAGUGAAAUGCGUAGAGAUGUGGAGGAACACCAAUGGCGAAGGCAGCCCCCUGGGAUGACACUGACGCUCAUGCACGAAAGCGUGGGGAGCAAACAGGAUUAGAUACCCCAGUAGUCCCUGUCUCUUAUAA
RNAcentral lists this ribosomal RNA (301 nucleotides) under uncultured bacterium. RNAcentral's name for it is "partial 16S ribosomal RNA". It matches the Rfam family "Bacterial small subunit ribosomal RNA", at positions 509 to 809 of the family's 1533-position model. The record is from RNAcentral.